CCUACGGGUGGCAGCAGUGGGGAAUAUUGCACAAUGGGCGCAAGCCUGAUGCAGCCAUGCCGCGUGUGUGAAGAAGGCCUUCGGGUUGUAAAGCACUUUCAGCGGGGAGGAAGGCGUUAAGGUUAAUAACCUUGGCGAUUGACGUUACCCGCAGAAGAAGCACCGGCUAACUCCGUGCCAGCAGCCGCGGUAAUACGGAGGGUGCAAGCGUUAAUCGGAAUUACUGGGCGUAAAGCGCACGCAGGCGGUCUGUCAAGUCGGAUGUGAAAUCCCCGGGCUCAACCUGGGAACUGCAUUCGAAACGGGCAGGCUAGAGUCUUGUAGAGGGGGGUAGAAUUCCAGGUGUAGCGGUGAAAUGCGUAGAGAUCUGGAGGAAUACCGGUGGCGAAGGCGGCCCCCUGGACAAAGACUGACGCUCAGGUGCGAAAGCGUGGGGAGCAAACAGGAUUAGAUACCUUGUAGUC
RNAcentral lists this ribosomal RNA (464 nucleotides) under uncultured Klebsiella sp. RNAcentral describes it as "bacterial SSU rRNA". It matches the Rfam family "Bacterial small subunit ribosomal RNA", at positions 338 to 795 of the family's 1533-position model. Lineage: Bacteria; Pseudomonadati; Pseudomonadota; Gammaproteobacteria; Enterobacterales; Enterobacteriaceae. The record is from RNAcentral.